Tachysurus fulvidraco (yellow catfish) is the source of this 1193-nucleotide non-coding RNA. The record is from the annotation of a RefSeq genome assembly. NCBI's taxonomy places the organism in Eukaryota, Metazoa, Chordata, Actinopteri, Siluriformes, Bagridae.
AGUUAGUUAUUUUUUUAAAUAAUUGUAAUAUAGAUUUUAAAAGAUAAUACAAAAUAUUUAAUGUUACUGCACAUGAUACACACUGUAAUAAUCAUAUCACUAACAAGACCUUAUGAUAAUGUAGGUUGAAGGAUUAGUUGCUGUUCCUCUCUGUUACAUCCUCAUGACUCCCACAUGUUUUCUAUCAUGACGUCAUGAUGCAAAUCCAGACUGCUGUGUGUCCAUGCUGUAUUUAUGUGCAGCUGAGUUAAGUAGAGCGAUCGAGUCUCAUCAACACUCACCAUGAAGAUCCCACUCUCCUUAUUCCUGCUACUAAUCAGCCUCAUAGGUAUUCAGUAUCAGAGUCUUGAGUCUAUUCCCAUUGUUUCAGUGGUGAAAAAACCUGGAGAAACUCUGAGUCUUUCCUGUAAAGGAUCUGGGUUUAACUUUGGUGGCUAUGGCAUGCAUUGCAUCAGACAACAAGCUGGAAAAGCUCUGAAAUGGAUUGGGGUUAUCUGGUCUGAUGCCAGUAAAACAAUAUACACCAAAGACAUUGAAAGACGUUUGGAAAUUACCAGAGACAACUCCAAAAACAUGGUAUAUCUGCAGCUGAGCGGUUUGAGUGCCCAGGAUUCUGUAGUUUAUUACUGUUCUAGAAACCACAGUGGCACAAACAUGUUAAUCAAUCGUCCAAAAUCCUCCCCCAGAUGUGGUGAAAGAAAAAAGUGCUUUCAAUAUACGGGGCACGUUCACAAGACCUACAGGUGGCGCUACAGCUCAACAAAUUUACUGUAACAUCGUAGGUUUAAAGUACAACAUAUUCUCAUAUCCCCAGUCAGAUCUAAAUACUCCACAAUUUCUAUAUAUUUCUGUGACACAAUGAACACCAAGACUGUCUCUUAUAGUCAUAUUCUUACAGAGGAACCAAAAAGGAAAUAAAUAAAAUUUACAGAAAAAUGUCAGACUUUAAUUAGUGAUUACUGAAUACAUACAUUUUACAAAAGUUCCAUAACAUUAACAUAAAAAGUUCAAUAUACAGUAAUACCUCAAGAUAUGAGUUUAAUUUGUUCUGUGACCUUGCUCAUAUCUCAAUUUGCUGGUAUCUCAAAACAAUUUUCCCCAUUUAAAUUAAUUGAAAUCCCAUUAAUCCGUUCCAGCUCGCAAAAUUUCACUCUAGUUGUUUUCUUUGUGUUUUGAAUAUGAAAAAUGUACAG